GCUUGUCUCAAAGAUUAAGCCAUGCAUGUCUAAGUAUAAAUAGUAUACAGUGAAACUGCGAAUGGCUCAUUAAAACAGUUAUAGUUUAUUUGAUAAUUGAAAAUUACAUGGAUAACCGUGGUAAUUCUAGAGCUAAUACAUGCUAUCAAGCCCGACUUCUUGAAGGGUUGUAUUUAUUAGACUUAAGCCAAUAUUCCUUGUGUCUAUUGCGAUGAUUCAUAAUAACUGAUCGAAUCUCAAAUUUGAGAUAAAUCAUUCAAGUUUCUGCCCUAUCAGCUUUCGAUGGUAGUGUAUUGGACUACCAUGGCAGUAACGGGUAACGAAGAAUUAGGGUUCGAUUUCGGAGAGGGAGCAUGAGAAACGGCUACCACAUCUAAGGAAGGCAGCAGG
RNAcentral lists this ribosomal RNA (390 nucleotides) under uncultured Scuticociliatia. RNAcentral's name for it is "partial small subunit ribosomal RNA". It matches the Rfam family "Eukaryotic small subunit ribosomal RNA", at positions 30 to 432 of the family's 1831-position model. Lineage: Eukaryota; Ciliophora; Oligohymenophorea. The record is from RNAcentral.